This 253-nucleotide ribosomal RNA is filed under the name uncultured bacterium. RNAcentral's name for it is "partial 16S ribosomal RNA". It matches the Rfam family "Bacterial small subunit ribosomal RNA", at positions 524 to 776 of the family's 1533-position model. The record is from RNAcentral.
UACGUAGGUGGCAAGCGUUGUCCGGAAUUAUUGGGCGUAAAGGGCUCGUAGGCGGUUUGUCGCGUCGGGAGUGAAAUCCACUGGCUUAACUGGUGGCUUGCUUUCGAUACGGGCAGACUGGAGGUAUGCAGGGGAGAACGGAAUUCCUGGUGUAGCGGUGAAAUGCGUAGAUAUCGUAAGGAAGACCAGUGGCGAAGGCGGGUCUCUGGACAGUUCCUGACGCUGAGGCACGAAGGCUAGGGGAGCAAACGGG